UACAUGCAAGUCGAACGAACUCUGGUAUUGAUUGGUGCUUGCAUCAUGAUUUACAUUUGAGUGAGUGGCGAACUGGUGAGUAACACGUGGGAAACCUGCCCAGAAGCGGGGGAUAACACCUGGAAACAGAUGCUAAUACCGCAUAACAACUUGGACCGCAUGGUCCGAGUUUGAAAGAUGGCUUCGGCUAUCACUUUUGGAUGGUCCCGCGGCGUAUUAGCUAGAUGGUGGGGUAACGGCUCACCAUGGCAAUGAUACGUAGCCGACCUGAGAGGGUAAUCGGCCACAUUGGGACUGAGACACGGCCCAAACUCCUACGGGAGGCAGCAGUAGGGAAUCUUCCACAAUGGACGAAAGUCUGAUGGAGCAACGCCGCGUGAGUGAAGAAGGGUUUCGGCUCGUAAAACUCUGUUGUUAAAGAAGAACAUAUCUGAGAGUAACUGUUCAGGUAUUGACGGUAUUUAACCAGAAAGCCACGGCUAACUACGUGCCAGCAGCCGCGGUAAUACGUAGGUGGCAAGCGUUGUCCGGAUUUAUUGGGCGUAAAGCGAGCGCAGGCGGUUUUUUAAGUCUGAUGUGAAAGCCUUCGGCUCAACCGAAGAAGUGCAUCGGAAACUGGGAAACUUGAGUGCAGAAGAGGACAGUGGAACUCCAUGUGUAGCGGUGAAAUGCGUAGAUAUAUGGAAGAACACCAGUGGCGAAGGCGGCUGUCUGGUCUGUAACUGACGCUGAGGCUCGAAAGUAUGGGUAGCAAACAGGAUUAGAUACCCUGGUAGUCCAUACCGUAAACGAUGAAUGCUAAGUGUUGGAGGGUUUCCGCCCUUCAGUGCUGCAGCUAACGCAUUAAGCAUUCCGCCUGGGGAGUACGGCCGCAAGGCUGAAACUCAAAGGAAUUGACGGGGGCCCGCACAAGCGGUGGAGCAUGUGGUUUAAUUCGAAGCUACGCGAAGAACCUUACCAGGUCUUGACAUACUAUGCAAAUCUAAGAGAUUAGACGUUCCCUUCGGGGACAUGGAUACAGGUGGUGCAUGGUUGUCGUCAGCUCGUGUCGUGAGAUGUUGGGUUAAGUCCCGCAACGAGCGCAACCCUUAUUAUCAGUUGCCAGCAUUAAGUUGGGCACUCUGGUGAGACUGCCGGUGACAAACCGGAGGAAGGUGGGGAUGACGUCAAAUCAUCAUGCCCCUUAUGACCUGGGCUACACACGUGCUACAAUGGAUGGUACAACGAGUUGCGAACUCGCGAGAGUAAGCUAAUCUCUUAAAGCCAUUCUCAGUUCGGAUUGUAGGCUGCAACUCGCCUACAUGAAGUCGGAAUCGCUAGUAAUCGCGGAUCAGCAUGCCGCGGUGAAUACGUUCCCGGGCCUUGUACACACCGCCCGUCACACCAUGAGAGUUUGUAACACCCAAAGUCGGUGGGGUAACCUUUUAGGAACCAGCCGCAUA
RNAcentral lists this ribosomal RNA (1442 nucleotides) under Lactiplantibacillus plantarum. RNAcentral describes it as "bacterial SSU rRNA". It matches the Rfam family "Bacterial small subunit ribosomal RNA". Lineage: Bacteria; Bacillati; Bacillota; Bacilli; Lactobacillales; Lactobacillaceae. The record is from RNAcentral.